Molecule: ribosomal RNA, 290 nt
Filed under: uncultured bacterium
Lineage: Bacteria
Description: partial 16S ribosomal RNA
Rfam family: Bacterial small subunit ribosomal RNA
Source: RNAcentral
GUGGAUUAGAUACCCUGGUAGUCCACGCCGUAAACGAUGAGCACUAGGUGUCGCGGGUAUUGACCCCUGCGGUGCCGACGCUAACGCAUUAAGUGCUCCGCCUGGGGACUACGGCCGCAAGGUUAAAACUCAAAGGAAUUGACGGGGGCCCGCACAAGCGGUGGAGCAUGUGGUUCAAUUCGACGCAACGCGAAGAACCUUACCUGGGCUAGACAACGGAGGCCCGCCCCAGAGAUGGGGUUUUCCCUUCGGGGACUUCCGGUUCAGGUGCUGCAUGGUUGUCGUCAACU